GCUGGAGUAUAGUGGUGCGAUCAUAGCUAGCUGCAGCCUUGAACUCCUCCUCAAGCAAUCCUUCCUCCUUGGCCUCGCAAAGUCCUGGGAUUACAGGCGUGAGCUACUGGGCCUGACCUACAAAAUGUUUUAUGCUUUCGGCCUAAAUAGUGUUCCUUGGAGAGAAAAUUACCCUGGGAAUGAAUAAACAAGAGCAAUGCAAAUGUUUCUUUUACAUUAGAUUCUUGCAGCCCUGGAAAUCCUAAAUAAUAAUCAUGGCAAUACUACAUUUAUAAGACUAAAAGAUAGGAACUCAAGAAAAAUUUGGUCAUAGCAGUUGGUGAAAAAGUGAAUUUAAGAGAAGUGACAAAAAGAACUACUUGGGAUAUCCACGACUGUUACAGAUGCUUCGUGGAGGUUCAAAAAGACUACAGAUCAAGGCCAGUGACCUUCUACACAUGGUGGACACUCCAGCCUCUGCUCAAUCUCCAUCCACACUUAAAGGAAAUAGCCAACUCUUGGCCAACCUUCAGGCCUGGGAAGAGGCUCAAGCAGACACUGAAGACGGACUUAAGUGAGUGAAGCUUUGGCAGGACCAUGUCUCUGAAUGUCUCAUUGGAAGGGUUUCAUCACUGUCCCUGAAAGCCUCCUUCAUCAAGAUUUUUUGAAUGUUGUAUUUCCUGAGUUGACUCUGAUUUUCUAAUCUUUGCUUUUCUGAUUUACAUGUCUGUUUGGUUCUAUAUUCCGAGUAAGUAGCUUGCGUUUGUCUUCCAACUCUUCAAAUUAUUGUUGCAUUUGUGCUUUAUCAUUAAAUGCCAAGAAUUCCUUUUAUAAUUGAUGUACUUUUGAGCUGGUCAGUUUUUAUUAAAAAAAAAAUUUAGAAACUUCUGCUCAGAUAAUCUGUGCUUUAGAUGAUUAUAACAUGUCAUUAAUAAUUUUCUGAUUUUUAUGCUUGUAUUGGCCUUAAAGAUAAUGUCCAUGUUAUAGAAAAUACAAAUUGAGUGUUCAGGAAUAAAGGCCUAACACAUCUUCAAU
RNAcentral lists this long non-coding RNA (1014 nucleotides) under Homo sapiens (human). RNAcentral describes it as "HSALNT0163049". The record is from RNAcentral. Lineage: Eukaryota; Metazoa; Chordata; Mammalia; Primates; Hominidae.